UAGAAUUCCACGUGUAGCAGUGAAAUGCGUAGAGAUGUGGAGGAAUACCGAUGGCGAAGGCAGCCUCCUGGGAUAACACUGACGUUCAUGCUCGAAAGCGUGGGUAGCAAACAGGAUUAGAUACCCUGGUAGUCCACGCCCUAAACGAUGACAAUUAGCUGUUGGGACACUAGAUGUUUUAGUAGCGAAGCUAACGCGUGAAAUUGUCCGCCUGGGGAGUACGGUCGCAAGAUUAAAACUCAAAGGAAUUGACGGGGACCCGCACAAGCGGUGGAUGAUGUGGAUUAAUUCGAUGCAACGCGAAGAACCUUACCUGGUCUUGACAUGUACGGAAUCUCUUAGAGAUAGGAGAGUGCCUUCGGGAGCCGUAACACAGGUGCUGCAUGGCUGUCGUCAGCUCGUGUCGUGAGAUGUUGGGUUAAGUCCCGCAACGAGCGCAACCCUUGUCAUUAGUUGCCAUCAUUAAGUUGGGCACUCUGAUGAGACUGCCGGUGACAAACCGGAGGAAGGUGGGGAUGACGUCAAGUCCUCAUGGCCCUUAUGACCAGGGCUUCACACGUCAUACAAUGGUCGGUACAGAGGGUAGCGAAGCCGCGAGGUGAAGCCAAUCUCAGAAAGCCGAUCGUAGUCCGGAUUGCACUCUGCAACUCGAGUGCAUGAAGUCGGAAUCGCUAGUAAUCGCAGGUCAGCAUAC
This 694-nucleotide ribosomal RNA is filed under the name uncultured Snodgrassella sp. RNAcentral describes it as "bacterial SSU rRNA". It matches the Rfam family "Bacterial small subunit ribosomal RNA", at positions 662 to 1357 of the family's 1533-position model. Lineage: Bacteria; Pseudomonadati; Pseudomonadota; Betaproteobacteria; Neisseriales; Neisseriaceae. The record is from RNAcentral.